RNAcentral lists this ribosomal RNA (419 nucleotides) under bacterium. RNAcentral's name for it is "partial 16S ribosomal RNA". It matches the Rfam family "Bacterial small subunit ribosomal RNA", at positions 355 to 776 of the family's 1533-position model. The record is from RNAcentral.
UGGGGGAUAUUGCACAAUGGGCGCAAGCCUGAUGCAGCGACGCCGCGUGGGGGAUGAAGGCCUUCGGGUUGUAAACUUCUUUUGCUCUGAACAAGGCGCACUUUGGGGUGUGUUGAGUGUAGGGGUUGAUUAGCGCCGGCUAACUACGUGCCAGCAGCCGCGGUAAUACGUAGGGCGCGAGCGUUGUCCGGAAUUAUUGGGCGUAAAGGGCUUGUAGGUGGCUGGUUGCGUCUGUCGUGAAAGCUCAUGGCUUAACUGUGGGUUUGCGGUGGGUACGGGCUGGCUUGAGUGCAGUAGGGGAGGCUGGAAUUCCUGGUGUAGCGGUGGAAUGCGCAGAUAUCAGGAGGAAUACCGGUGGCGAAGGCGGGGCUCUGGGCUGUUACUGACACUGAGGAGCGAAAGCAUGGGGAGCGAACAGG